This 368-nucleotide long non-coding RNA is filed under the name Homo sapiens (human). RNAcentral's name for it is "HSALNT0329668". Lineage: Eukaryota; Metazoa; Chordata; Mammalia; Primates; Hominidae. The record is from RNAcentral.
CCAAACCAGCCUACUCCCUCUCAAGAGCUCACAGCUGCAGGACUAGAGCCAGAUGUGCCCCGGCAAUAAGCAUCCACCCCGUGACACGUAGUGGUGGCUGAUGUCGCCACAGUACCAUGAGGUUAACAGGUCCUCCCUCCAGCUUCCCUCAUGGUGGCAGCCUAACCUGCAUUGCAGCCGUUCACCGGACACCGCACCAGACCCUCAAAACCCAUCCAAGACUGUGGGAGGAGUAAACAACCCAGCCCAGUUAAGAGGAGAUGCCGAAUUUAAUGAACCCUAUUUGAAUUGCAGGGCUGUGAUUCCUCUUACCUUUAACGUGAACUCACAGGCGGAUUAAAGUGAAAUAAAACCUACCAUUUGAGUUA